This 253-nucleotide ribosomal RNA is filed under the name uncultured bacterium. Its description in RNAcentral is "partial 16S ribosomal RNA". It matches the Rfam family "Bacterial small subunit ribosomal RNA", at positions 524 to 776 of the family's 1533-position model. The record is from RNAcentral.
UACGUAGGGCGCGAGCGUUGUCCGGAAUUAUUGGGCGUAAAGAGCUCGUAGGCGGUUUGUUGGGUCGUAUGUGAAAGCCCGGGGCUUAACCCCGGGUCUGCAUUCGAUACGGGCAGACUGGAGUGUGGUAGGGGAGAUCGGAAUUCCUGGUGUAGCGGUGAAAUGCGCAGAUAUCAGGAGGAACACCGGUGGCGAAGGCGGAUCUCUGGGCCAUUACUGACGCUGAGGAGCGAAAGCGUGGGGAGCGAACAGG